UACGUAGGGGGCGAGCGUUGUCCGGAGUUACUGGGCGUAAAGCGCCCGCAGGCGGUCGCGUCAGUUUGGGGUGACAGCUCCCUGGCUUAACCGGGAGAGGACCUCGAAGACGGCGCGACUGGAGGGCCAGAGAGGGACAUGGAACUCCGGGUGGAGCGGUGAAAUGCGUAGAGAUCCGGAAGAACACCGAAGGCGAAGGCAGUGUCCUGGCUGGUACCUGACGCUCGGGGGCGAAAGCGAGGGGAGCGAACGGG
This 254-nucleotide ribosomal RNA is filed under the name uncultured bacterium. RNAcentral's name for it is "partial 16S ribosomal RNA". It matches the Rfam family "Bacterial small subunit ribosomal RNA", at positions 524 to 776 of the family's 1533-position model. The record is from RNAcentral.